AGGAUGAACGCUAGCGGGAGGCCUAACACAUGCAAGCCGAGCGGUAUUGUUUCUUCGGAAAUGAGAGAGCGGCGUACGGGUGCGGAACACGUGUGCAACCUGCCUUUAUCUGGGGGAUAGCCUUUCGAAAGGAAGAUUAAUACUCCAUAACAUAUUGAACGGCAUCGUUUAAUAUUGAAAGCUCAGGCGGAUAGAGAUGGGCACGCGCAAGAUUAGCUAGUUGGUGAGGUAACGGCUCACCAAGGCAAUGAUCUUUAGGGGGCCUGAGAGGGUGAUCCCCCACACUGGUACUGAGACACGGACCAGACUCCUACGGGAGGCAGCGGUGAGGAAUAUUGGUCAAUGGGUGCAAGCCUGAACCAGCCAUCCCGCGUGAAGGACGACUGCCCUAUGGGUUGUAAACUUCUUUUGUAUAGGGAUAAACCUUUCCACGUGUGGAAAGCUGAAGGUACUAUACGAAUAAGCACCGGCUAACUCCGUG
RNAcentral lists this ribosomal RNA (481 nucleotides) under uncultured bacterium. RNAcentral describes it as "bacterial SSU rRNA". It matches the Rfam family "Bacterial small subunit ribosomal RNA", at positions 26 to 507 of the family's 1533-position model. The record is from RNAcentral.